UACGGAGGGUGCGAGCGUUGUCCGGAAUCACUGGGCGUAAAGGGCGCGUAGGCGGCAUGCCAAGCGUGUGGUGAAAGCCCGGGGCUCAACCCCGGGUCGGCCGUGCGGACUGGCGUGCUCGAGCACUGUAGAGGCAGGCGGAAUUCCGGGUGUAGCGGUGGAAUGCGUAGAGAUCCGGAAGAACACCGGUGGCGAAGGCGGCCUGCUGGGCAGUUUAGCUGACACUGAGGCGCGACAGCGUGGGGAGCAAACAGG
RNAcentral lists this ribosomal RNA (255 nucleotides) under uncultured bacterium. Its description in RNAcentral is "partial 16S ribosomal RNA". It matches the Rfam family "Bacterial small subunit ribosomal RNA", at positions 524 to 776 of the family's 1533-position model. The record is from RNAcentral.